RNAcentral lists this unclassified non-coding RNA (240 nucleotides) under soil metagenome. RNAcentral describes it as "partial contains 5.8S ribosomal RNA, internal transcribed spacer 2, and large subunit ribosomal RNA". The record is from RNAcentral.
AAGACUAUAGACCUGCGGAGUACCUGCGGAAGGAUCAUUAUUGAAUUAUGUUUCUAAAUGGGUUGUAGCUGGCUCGUCAGAGCAUGUGCACGCCUGUUUGGACUUCAUUUUCAUCCACCUGUGCACCUAUUGUAGUCUUUGGUUGGGUAUCAAGGAAGUGGUCAGCCUAUCAGCACUUGCUGGAUGUAAGGACUUGCAGUGUGAAAGCUUUGCUGUCCUUUACUUGAUCAUGGAGUUGUU